Molecule: non-coding RNA, 379 nt
Filed under: Nemalion sp. H.1444
Lineage: Eukaryota; Rhodophyta; Florideophyceae; Nemaliales; Nemaliaceae
Source: RNAcentral
GGGACUGUCAGGUUUCUACAUGUUAGUGCUUCUUAUGAAGAGUGGAAAAGCGAAUUAAGUUUACUUAACUUGAUUCAGCUAAAACAACAAAUGCAAAAAACCAAAUUAUUCCUUUUUCUCGGAGCCUAGUCGCAGCUUAAAAACUACUUUAGCUUAGAACCUAAAUAUAGUUUCGAGUAUCAAUUGUAAGGUCUAUAUUUUACAUAUGAUUAUAACUAAAAUAUAUUGCUCUUGAGUUGAUGUUCAGUUGCCUCUGAACUUUCUCAGUAAAGUUUAAUGUAUAUUAAAAUACUUCGAUUUUUCUGUAUCUAUGGUAGCGUAGAUACCUUCUAAGAUUAUGUUAUUAACAUGGACGUGGGUUCGAAUCCCACCAGUUCCA